Molecule: unclassified non-coding RNA, 146 nt
Filed under: uncultured Chaetosphaeria
Lineage: Eukaryota; Fungi; Ascomycota; Sordariomycetes; Chaetosphaeriales; Chaetosphaeriaceae
Description: sequence contains ITS2
Source: RNAcentral
CUCCCCUCAGGCCCAGCCUGGUGUUGGGGCAUCACCUAGUCGUGGGCCCCCAAAGUCAGCGGCGGGCUCGUCUAGGACCCGAGCGUAGUAGCAUACCUCGCUUAGGGCGUCUAGCGUGCUCCGGCCGUUAAAACCCCCCUUCUGAA